UUAGAAAGGUAGGAAUCGAACCUACACCUGAGAAAUCAAAAUCCCCUGCAAUUCCAUUUUGCCACUCUCUA
Molecule: transfer RNA, 71 nt
Filed under: Crinia bilingua
Lineage: Eukaryota; Metazoa; Chordata; Amphibia; Anura; Myobatrachidae
Description: tRNA-Gln
Source: RNAcentral